This 781-nucleotide ribosomal RNA is filed under the name uncultured bacterium. Its description in RNAcentral is "bacterial SSU rRNA". It matches the Rfam family "Bacterial small subunit ribosomal RNA", at positions 28 to 808 of the family's 1533-position model. The record is from RNAcentral.
GACGAACGCUGGCGGCGUGCUUAACACAUGCAAGUCGAACGAGAAUCUGUGGAUCGAGGAUUCGUCCAAGUGAAGCAGAGGACAGUGGCGGACGGGUGAGUAACGCGUGAGGAACCUGCCUUUCAGAGGGGGACAACAGUUGGAAACGACUGCUAAUACCGCAUGAUACGUAUUGGGGGCAUCCCUGAGACGUCAAAGAUUUAUCGCUGAAAGAUGGCCUCGCGUCUGAUUAGCUGGUUGGUGAGGUAACGGCCCACCAAGGCGACGAUCAGUAGCCGGACUGAGAGGUUGACCGGCCACAUUGGGACUGAGAUACGGCCCAGACUCCUACGGGAGGCAGCAGUGGGGAAUAUUGGGCAAUGGGCGCAAGCCUGACCCAGCAACGCCGCGCGAAGGAAGAAGGCUUUCGGGUUGUAAACUUCUUUUAAGAGGGAAGAGCAGAAGACUGUACCUCUAGAAUAAGCCACGGCUAACUACGUGCCAGCAGCCGCGGUAAUACGUAGGUGGCAAGCGUUGUCCGGAUUUACUGGGUGUAAAGGGCGUGCAGCCGGGAAUGCAAGUCAGAUGUGAAAUCCAUGGGCUUAACCCAUGAACUGCAUUUGAAACUGUAUUUCUUGAGUACUGGAGAGGCAAUCGGAAUUCCUAGUGUAGCGGUGAAAUGCGUAGAUAUUAGGAGGAACACCAGUGGCGAAGGCGGAUUGCUGGACAGCAACUGACGGUGAGGCGCGAAAGUGUGGGGAGCAAACAGGAUUAGAUACCCUGGUAGUCCACACUGUAAACG